UACGAAGGGUGCAAACGUUGCUCGGAAUUAUUGGGCGUAAAGCGCACGUAGGCGGCUUAGCAAGUUGGAUGUGAAAUCCCUCGGCUCAACCAAGGAAGUGCAUCCAAAACUGCUGAGCUUGAGUACUUAAGAGGAGCGCGGAAUUCCCGGUGUAGAGGUGAAAUUCGUAGAUAUCGGGAGGAACACCAGUGGCGAAGGCGGCGAUCUGGGAAGAUACUGACGCUGAGGUGCGAAAGCGUGGGGAGCAAACAGG
This 253-nucleotide ribosomal RNA is filed under the name uncultured bacterium. RNAcentral describes it as "partial 16S ribosomal RNA". It matches the Rfam family "Bacterial small subunit ribosomal RNA", at positions 524 to 776 of the family's 1533-position model. The record is from RNAcentral.